RNAcentral lists this ribosomal RNA (406 nucleotides) under uncultured bacterium. RNAcentral's name for it is "partial 16S ribosomal RNA". It matches the Rfam family "Bacterial small subunit ribosomal RNA", at positions 28 to 526 of the family's 1533-position model. The record is from RNAcentral.
GACGAACGCUGGCGGCGUGCCUAAUACAUGCAAGUAGAACGCAGUUGCGAACGGGUGAGUAACGCGUAGGUAACUGCCUGGUAGCGGGGGAUAACUAUUGGAAACGCUAGCUAAUACCGCAUACUACCAGAUGGACCUGCGUUGUAUUAGCUAGUUGGUGGGGGAACGGGUCACCAAGGCAAAGAUACAUAGCCGUUCGGAGAGGUGGUCGGCCCACAGUGGAACUGGAAAAGGCCCAGACUCCUACGGGGGGCAACAGUAGGGAAACUUCGGAAAAUGGGGGAACCCUGACCGAGCAACGCCGGGUGAGUGAAGAAGGUUUUCGGAUCGGAAAGCCAUGUUGUGAAGGAAGCGGUACUUAACCAGAAAGCGACGGCUAACUACGUGCCAGCAGCCGCGGUAAUAC